AUUGAACGCUGGCGGCAUGCCUUACACAUGCAAGUCGAACGGCAGCACGGGAGCAAUCCUGGUGGCGAGUGGCGAACGGGUGAGUAAUAUAUCGGAACGUGCCCAGUCGUGGGGAUAACGUAGCGAAAGCUACGCUAAUACCGCAUACGAUCUAUGGAUGAAAGCGGGGGAUCGCAAGACCUCGCGCGAUUGGAGCGGCCGAUAUCAGAUUAGGUAGUUGGUGAGGUUAAAGGGCUCACCAAGCCGACGAUCUGUAGCUGGU
This 262-nucleotide ribosomal RNA is filed under the name uncultured bacterium. Its description in RNAcentral is "partial 16S ribosomal RNA". It matches the Rfam family "Bacterial small subunit ribosomal RNA", at positions 30 to 291 of the family's 1533-position model. The record is from RNAcentral.